This 598-nucleotide long non-coding RNA is filed under the name Mytilus galloprovincialis (Mediterranean mussel). The record is from RNAcentral. Lineage: Eukaryota; Metazoa; Mollusca; Bivalvia; Mytilida; Mytilidae.
CACGAUCGUUUUGUACUAAGUGUAAGCUUCCAAAAUUCGAAUUGAAAAAUAAAUUGAGCUACAUAUUCAAUUCAAAACAAUAGAUUUGCAAUGUCUUGCGGAAAUGUCCGAGUUAAACGUUCAUGCCUUCAUAAAACUUUUACGGCCAAAAAAAACAGAGAUUUGAUUUCGUGAAGAUUAUUUUUCGGCUUUGAUAACUAUACCAAUAAAAAGUACUUUUAAAGUUGAAGUUGGUACACCAAAUAGCAUUAAGAUUACAGGGUUAUCUAUAAAAAAUACGGAUUAAUGAAAAUGUCUUGCAAGUUUGUCCGUUAUCAUAAUUUGACGUCGCCAGAAGCGUUAUGCUAGCUAGGGACGGCAUGAACUGCAUUCGCGUGUUCCUUCCUCCACUAAAUAUAAAUGUCCUGCUUUCAACAAAACGAAAUGAUGCACACAUUACAAAAAUACACAUCUAUAAGACGAUCAAAAAGUAAGAAAACUUCAGUAUCAUAACUAUAAGCUAUUGUAUGUCACUGCUUGAAUAAAAUCAUACUCGGGUUGAAUAUAUAAUGCAGCAAUAUUCCUCCAAAAACACAUAAUUACUAGCAGUAAAAUUGAA